RNAcentral lists this ribosomal RNA (499 nucleotides) under uncultured Gemella sp. RNAcentral's name for it is "bacterial SSU rRNA". It matches the Rfam family "Bacterial small subunit ribosomal RNA", at positions 32 to 507 of the family's 1533-position model. The record is from RNAcentral. Lineage: Bacteria; Bacillati; Bacillota; Bacilli; Caryophanales; Gemellaceae.
CGAGACGACGCUGGCGGCGUGCCUAAUACAUGCAAGUCGAGCGAAGUUUUUCUGGUGCUUGCACCGGAAAACUUAGCGGCGAACGGGUGAGUAACACGUAAAGAACCUGCCUCAUAGACUGGGACAACUAUUGGAAACGAUAGCUAAUACCGGAUAACAGCAUUAACUGCAUGGUUAAUGUUUAAAAGUGGUUUUGCUAACACUAUGAGAUGGCUUUGCGGUGCAUUAGCUAGUUGGUGGGGUAAAGGCCUACCAAGGCGACGAUGCAUAGCCGACCUGAGAGGGUGAUCGGCCACACUGGGACUGAGACACGGUCCAGACUCCUACGGGAGGCAGCAGUAGGGAAUCUUCCGCAAUGGGCGAAAGCCUGACGGAGCAACGCCGCGUGAGUGAAGAAGGAUUUCGGUUCGUAAAGCUCUGUUGUUAGGGAAGAAUGAUUGUGUAGUAACUAUACAUAGUAGAGACGAUACCUAACCAGAAAGUCACGGCUAACUACGUG